CAGCCGCCGCGGGAAUACGAAGGGGGCUAGCGUUGCUCGGGAUCACUGGGCGUAAAGGGCGCGUAGGCGGACUUUUAAGUCGGAGGUGAAAGCCCAGGGCUCAACCCUGGAAUUGCCUUCGAUACUGGGAGUCUUGAGUUCGGAAGAGGUUGGUGGAACUGCGAGUGUAGAGGUGAAAUUCGUAGAUAUUCGCAAGAACACCAGUGGCGAAGGCGGCCAACUGGUCCGAUACUGACGCUGAGGCGCGAAAGCGUGGGGAGCAAACAGGAUUAGAUACCCCUGUAGUCCCUGUCUCUUAUAC
RNAcentral lists this ribosomal RNA (301 nucleotides) under uncultured bacterium. RNAcentral describes it as "partial 16S ribosomal RNA". It matches the Rfam family "Bacterial small subunit ribosomal RNA", at positions 509 to 807 of the family's 1533-position model. The record is from RNAcentral.